This 208-nucleotide long non-coding RNA is filed under the name Lathyrus oleraceus (garden pea). RNAcentral's name for it is "Pisum sativum (pea) long non-coding RNA (PSAT_LNC025003)". Lineage: Eukaryota; Viridiplantae; Streptophyta; Magnoliopsida; Fabales; Fabaceae. The record is from RNAcentral.
AGAGGUCGAAAGUGUUCUGAUUUUCUCUGGCCUUUGAAUAUACUAUGGUGAAAAUGAAUUACCCCACUUUGAUGUGUGAUGACUGAUUUUAUAGAAUUCAAAUUUUGUUACAAAAUUCAAAAUGAAAUUCUAACGAAAUUCAUCUGUAAUUCAGUUUCGGUUAGAAAAGUAACUAGUUAGUUAUCACUCAAAAUCACCUGAAAAUCUA